RNAcentral lists this long non-coding RNA (4110 nucleotides) under Mustela putorius furo (domestic ferret). RNAcentral describes it as "lncRNA (ENSMPUG00000029651.1)". The record is from RNAcentral. Lineage: Eukaryota; Metazoa; Chordata; Mammalia; Carnivora; Mustelidae.
GGAGACAAAUAAUUUCAAUAAAACGUGCUCUAGUGGAAACUCCGCCUGGAGGCCCAGAGAAGGAGAUGACGGGUGAGCCGGGUGUUGAAGGAUGAUGGAGGAGACAGGGCGGCGUUCCCAGCGGCCUGGAGGAGUCUGGCUCGAUCCACUCUGUACUCCUGGUGACCCUCCUCUCUGCCCUGGCACUUUGACCUUUGUCAACUACAUCAGCAGACUCUCUGACUUCCAGCUGGACUUAGCCAACAGAACUUUCCAGCAGGAGAUUGAAAGUCCGAUGGUGACAGCCAGUGGUUCAACAGGGUUCUCAAAGGGCACAAGGAAACACUCAGAGCAAGGGAUGGAGCCAACUCAAGGAGACGGAAAGAACAUUUGAAGAAACUAAGAGGUGAGCAGAUGCUUGCAGAAACCAAAGAGCUGGAGUUAAGGAUAGAAGCUGGCUAUAAACUGUGAAUCCCAGAUGAAUAGGGAUAAAGUGACCGAUCAGAAUGCACCCUGGCCUUCCUGCUUCACUGGACUGUGUGUGAAUUUACUGUAAAGUACUGGACGGUCAGAAGAAUGAGCAAAAGAAAACUAGACAGUCAUUCCUCAGCUUUCCUGUCUUCUUUAGGAUUUCCUGCUAGCUUUUGCCACCCUCAGCCUCCACCCACCCCGAUAACUACCACCUACCCCCAACUAAUCCGGUUAACAGACACUCAAAGUGCGUUACUCAUCAUUACGUAGGGUGCUUGCUGCUGGAUGGAACUGGGGGAGGCAGUGUGUGAGCCUCCUGGCUCCCUAUGCCUGACUCGCCCUUUCCUUGUUCAAACGUGUUGUUCCCUAGUGUGUUCCCCAGGGCCCCAAGGGAAGGCUUGCUGUGAUUCAUGUGACUUUUAAGUGUGAUAGAAAUGCAGGACCAACUUGUUAAAGUAUUUAUGGGGAUCUAUUUUGGGGAGACAAAGUCUAGCCAAGACACACAUCGAAGUUCAAAAAGAAGACAGAGCAACAGUGAUGAAGAAGAUGUGGUCAUCAGGACGGAAGGACACUGAAGCCGGGAAACAUAAGACAAAGUCUUUCAUGUAUCUCAUUCCUGAGACACUUGUGAUAAGCCCCUGGAGAGUUGCUAAAUGUGGUGUAUACGUUGGGCUGUAAGCCCUUUAGAGCCAACCCCAAAAGGGGCCAUGCAAGAAGUUACAUGAUUGGGGAAGGGUGGUUACAGCGGAAGUACUGAUGCUCUUGGAAUAGAGAUUAGAGCAAAAACCACCCUUCCACUCUGUACAUGGCUGCCCCUCCCACCCCGCUGCCUCUGUGGAGUAGAGUGAAUCACAUUUUCUAACACCUUUACAAUAAAAGUGUCAGUGAUCUGUAAAAGCUUGGGCUGUAGCCGUAUAGUGAUAAGCAGUAGUCCCUGUCACCUCCCCCAGAAUGUUAUGCUAUACUAAGAAAGGGGAAUAUGCUAUGAUUUAAUGGAGAGAGGAGAUUGAGUGGAUGGCCAUGCAUGGGCACUUCUAGAGUGCAGAUAUGUUUCACAUUUUAUGUCCAACGUCUACGGGUGGUGUAAAGUGCAGUGUUCUGCAUAGACACUGACAGCCUGUCCAAUAUGUCUCUUCUUGAAAAACAUGAAGUGGCUGCAAGGACUCAUGAAGGAGGUAAAAUAUACUUCUGUUGGGAUUAUAAUAAUUCCUACUUAUGGGAAACAUGUGAAAGAAAACAAAAUGGUGGCCCUUCCAGGAGGCAUGGGGGAAGGGGCAUUAAUGCAAAGGAGCCAGCUCACAGGGGGAGGAGGAGGGGUGGGUUGAAUCCAAGGAAAGACUAGAUGGUGCCCCCCCCCCCACCCCCCGGAAUAAUAUGAGGGGUUCUCAGAAGAAAACACCAGAAACGUGCCCUGGGGAUGCAGAGGACACAUGCCUCCAGCAGGAAUGGCAGGGACCUCUUGCCAGGGCAAAGGGAAGAGGAAAACAGGGCAAGAACUGAGUCCUUAGAACUCUCUCAAGCAAAUGGUGUAAUUAUUUCCUCCAUGGCAAAGUGCUUUUCGUGAUAGACCAUUCUUCUGAGUUUUGUGUGAUUUCUUUGUUUUUACUUCUGUUUUCGCUCUAGAGAGCUGGCUUACGUGACUACUGGUGUAGAGGAAAGGUGUGAAUGUGCGCUAGAGGCGGCUCUGUAAUGCUCUGAAGCAGCGGUGACGGCCGGCCUUGGGAUGACUGUGUGGGCUGGGUAUUGCAACCAGGGCAACAAGGCCUUCAAAUUACAAAUAAAUCCAGUUCCAUCUUUGCCCCCCUCUCCCACCAGCCUCGAGGCAGAACAAGCAGGGUCUAGUGACACCAGUGAUGCUGUAGCAGCCCUCGCAGGGCAGAGUGGUUUCUCGUGCCAGACCCCAGCUGCUUUCCUGCAGACAUUCCCAUCAUGCCUUGCUACUUCCCCUGGAAGGCCGGUGAGGUACCACCCGCUCCAGAAGGGGUAAGAUGACGCUCCUUUUAAACACAAGGAACCAAGCCUUCUUUCUUCUUCCUUAUCCCAAAUUCCUUGUCCCGGUAGAAUUCCAAUUCUACCCUAGCCAGUCUACUGGAAACUCGACCCAUCCUAAUUUCUACUCAUGAUUCAUCAUUAUUCAUACCCAGGCACAAACCUGACACCCCUCAUUUUGGAGCCAUCUCACUACAGGCUCAUCUUUGGUCACAUCGGUCUAUUUUUAAUUGUUAUAGGACUUCUGUCUUGCGUGUUCAUUUAUUUACAAGUUUAUUGUCUAUUCUAGAAUAUGAGUGGUGAGAGCAAGGACUUGUUUGUCUGGUUGACUCCUAUAUUAUUAUGUUAAAUAGUGUCUGGCAUGUAAUCAGUAUGCCAAAAUUUAAUUAUUGUUAAAAAUAGGGGAGUCAAGUAUACAUCAAGAACAUGGCGAAGUAAAGCAUUCUAAUGUUAAUGUAUGAAAAUAGUUUUUACUUUACAGACUCAGAGACACCCCCAUUCUAUUGAGUGCUGCAAUAGGGAAGUAAAGAGUAGUCAGAGGUCGCAGGGGUUGGAGACCUGAGGAAAAAAGGGCACUAAAGGGGUCUCUGAGACUCUUUCAGGGAGUUUGUAAGGUAAAAAUUAGUUUCAUAUUAAUAUUAAGGUGUUGAUUUUUUCACUGUGGUGACAUUUCUACUGAUGAUGCAAAAGCAACAGAGAGCGAAACUGCUGCCUCCUUGGCAUGUGGCAUGUGGCAUGUGGCACCAAAUUGUCACCACAUACUCACAGUAAAACAGAUUGCAGUUUUAUUUAAGAAUGUCCUUGAUAGGGGUACCUGGCUGGCUCCAUCGGUGGAAUGUGCGACUCUUUAUUUUGGGGUUGUGAGUUCCAGCCCCAUGUUGGGUGUAGAGAUUACUUUAAAAAAAAAAAAAAAAAGAAGAAGAAUGUCCCUGGAAAAUCAGUAAAAAUUAUUAAUUUUGUAAAUCUUGACCUCUGAGUACAUGCGCAUUGAAUAUUCUCUGUGAUAAACUGGGAAAUACACAUCAAGCAUUUCCGCUGAAUAAUGAAGGGUUGGUUUUCUUGAGGAAGAACACUUAGUAAUUGAAUUGUGAGCUGAACUAGCCUUUUAUGCCCCCUGGAACACCAUUAUUCUUUAAAAUUUUAAAGAGUGAAAGCCGAAAUAUGGUUGUUUAGACUUGGAUAUUUGAAGGAUAUUUUCUCAAAAUGAUUAAAAUAAGCUUGUCCCCUCAAGUAAAACAACUGACAAUAUCAGUUGCCAAUGAUUAGAACUAUGGAAAACUUGGGUCCAUCUCUGUGAGCUUGACAACUUCCUUAUAGACAUUAUUCUGACGAGACUGCUGACGAUAUAGUAAUGUGAUUUGGGGGGAUAUGUGUAAUAAAAUGUGUCAAAAUUCGGAAGAUCUAUGUAAGUUAGUGAACCAAUAUUUUCCGAAUGUCACAAAAGCAUGCGUGGGUAAAAGACCCAUUCCAAGUGCAAAACAGAUCAAUGGGUUUCAUGGAAGAGAAUUUUAUUUAUUUAUUUAUUUAUUUUUUAAAGAUUUUUAUUUAUUUGACAGACAGAGAUGACAAGUAGGCAGAGAGGCAGGCAGAGAGAGAGGGGGAAGCAGGCUCCCCGCUGAGCAGAGAGCCCGAUGCGGGGCUCGAUCCCAGGACGCUGNNNNNNNNNNNNNN